Molecule: ribosomal RNA, 108 nt
Filed under: Mesoplasma lactucae ATCC 49193
Lineage: Bacteria; Bacillati; Mycoplasmatota; Mollicutes; Entomoplasmatales; Entomoplasmataceae
Source: RNAcentral
UGGCGUUAAUAGCGCAGAGGUCACACCCGUUCCCAUGCCGAACACGGAAGUUAAGCUCUGCUACGGCGAUGAUAGUGCUUAGGCGCGAAAGUAGCGAGAUGCCAGGUA